Molecule: non-coding RNA, 76 nt
Organism: Podarcis lilfordi (Lilford's wall lizard)
Lineage: Eukaryota; Metazoa; Chordata; Lepidosauria; Squamata; Lacertidae
Source: the annotation of a GenBank genome assembly
GUCCUGGGAUAGCUCAGUUGGUAGAGCACAAGACUCUUUAGUCUUAGGGUCAUGGGUUUGAGCCCCACAUUGGGCA